UCCCUGGUGGCUCAGGUGGUAAAGCAUCUGCCUGCAAUGCGGGAGACCUGGGUUCGAUUCCUGGGUCGGGAA
Molecule: transfer RNA, 72 nt
Filed under: Ovis aries (sheep)
Lineage: Eukaryota; Metazoa; Chordata; Mammalia; Artiodactyla; Bovidae
Rfam family: tRNA
About the family: Transfer RNA (tRNA) molecules are approximately 80 nucleotides in length. Their secondary structure includes four short double-helical elements and three loops (D, anti-codon, and T loops). Further hydrogen bonds mediate the characteristic L-shaped molecular structure. tRNAs have two regions of fundamental functional importance: the anti-codon, which is responsible for specific mRNA codon recognition, and the 3' end, to which the tRNAs corresponding amino acid is attached (by aminoacyl-tRNA synthetases). tRNAs cope with the degeneracy of the genetic code in two manners: having more than one tRNA (with a specific anti-codon) for a particular amino acid; and 'wobble' base-pairing, i.e. permitting non-standard base-pairing at the 3rd anti-codon position.
Source: Rfam by way of RNAcentral